AAAAAAAAAUAUUGUUUACAUAUUAUAGAAAAACUAUAUUAAAAAAAACGAAUAAAAGGGAUAGUUCACAUUAAAAAUGAAAAAAGAAAAAAAAUCUAAUAUUUAUAAUAUAAAUUUCACGAUCUUCUCUUAUAACACAAUAAUGGCUUUAAAUUAUCUUUUGUGGGUUAUUUCACAGCCAAAUUUGAUGUGCGAUUAAUAUGUGAUUAAUUAGAUUAUUCAAUUGCCAAACUGUGUAAUUAAUUAGAUAAAAAAAUGUAAACAAUUGACAGCCCUAGUAGAAAUACUCCAAACUCGAUAGUCUUCAGGGACUAAGAUGUAUAAUAAUACAAAAGCAGGACGUCCUAUCAGAAGCCAACAUCUCAGAGAAUUGGUAAUCUUUGCAUUACAGCUGCACUCAUCACAGAGCUUGAUGAAGCACCUCAGUGGGUGAUGGAUGGGCUUCUGUGUUCAGUUUCCCGCGGGAUCGCUGUCUUGGAUGGUGAUGUUGAGUGGUGUCCCUCCACAUCUAUAGGAACAAAUCAUGGCGUCAGGUGGUGUGGCGCUCUCACUCACCCUUGCUCAGCUGAGUCACUCUUACCAUAGCGAAUACCUGCUUUAUAUCUCUCACUGACAGUGAAGAUCAAUAGUGAUGCCUCGCUCGGUGGGUGACGGUUGGGGUCCAAUUCAGCUUCUCGUGGGAGACUAACGCCUCCUGUGCUGUGGUGCAUGAGAAAUAACAACAACAGCAAUAAUAAUACAUUUGCAAAUAAGCUGUGAUGCAGUGACUACCAAUGGGAGAAAAGAAAGUGGUCGGCCACCUGAUACAGCUGGAUAUGGAAGAAGACAAAUAAUAAGAACCAUAAAAGAAUAAGAAUAACAGAAAAAACUAAAAUAAAAAUGUAUAAUUUAAUAGUAAUAGUAAAUAGUAGGCCUUCAUGUAUAAUUAUCAAUUGUGUAAUAAUAAAAUAAGUUUUAUAAUUAUAUGUAUAAUAACUACAAAUAAUUGACUUUUUCAAAAUAAAAAUAAAAAUAGUACAGGAGAUCGCUGGAGACUAGAAGGUGAGUACACAGGAGAUCGCUGGAGACUAGAAGGUGAGUACACAGGAGAUCGCUGGAGACUAGAAGGUGAGUACACAGGAGAUCGCUGGAGACUAGAAGGUGAGUACAGGAGAUCGCUGGAGACUAGAGGGUGAGUACAGGAGAUCGCUGGAGACUAGAGGGUGAGUACACAGGAAAUCGCUGGAGACUAGAGGGUGAGUACAGGAGAUCGCUGGAGACUAGAAGGUGAGUACACAGGAGAUCGCUGGAGACUAGAAGGUGAGUACAGGAGAUCGCUGGAGACUAGAAGGUGAGUACAGGAGAUCGCUGGAGACUAGAAGGUGAGUACACAGAGGAGACUAGAAGGAGAGUACAGGAGAUCGCUGGAGACACAGAGGUGAGUAUAGAUCACUGGAGACUUAAAAUGGAACAGGUAAGACUUUGAUGAAGGAAAAUCACUUAAGGAUCCUUUACAGGCACAAGGAGUGGUCUAAGAGUCCAUAAGGGUGACCAGGCAAUGGGUGCUUCUCAAAUGGAAGGGCACUUCAUUAUAAGGCUGUAUAUCCAAGCUGCCACAUUAUCAAGCUCCAUCUAAGGAUGUCUCGAUGUUAAGGAUCCUUAGUAGGCAGUCUAAUUUACAAUGGAAGCCUGUGUGGGGCAAGACUUUGCAUUGGAAUAAACAUUUCAAAACCAUAAAACGUAUACAUUAUACAUGUUAACAUAAACUUUAUGAUAAAAUGGUUACUAACCAUAUAAGCAACGUUAUAUUCAUUUUUAACUGCUGUGAUGACAAUGUAAAUCCAGUAAUUUUCGCAUGACACACGUGGAUACUAGAAACGGAAUGUGUGUUAACAGAGCACACUUGGUAAUACUUUAUUUUACAGUGUCAUUUUUACAUGUUAUGUGCAAUUACUAUAGUAUAAUAACAGUAAAUAAUGCAUAACGCCUUGCAACUAAGUCUAAAUCAAAGCCCUAAUCCUUUAGUAAGUACAUGUUGUUAAUUAAAUAUUCCUCAGUGUACUUAAAUGUAAAAAAAGAAAUAAAAAAGAAUCAAUAAAAUAGUUUUAACCAAACUAUGCACUUUUAAAUCUUCUGUAAUCGUGUACUUCAUAGUUGUCUUUCGUAAACUGAUUUCUGUAAACACAUUCUUGUGGAAUUAACGUCUUUAUUAUUUGUCUGCUCUCUUAACAGGGACCUAAGCAGUGCUGAGAUUCUCCAGGAUCAGUACAGUCUGCUUGGAAGACAAACAGCAGUAUACUGGCGCAGUUUGGCCGCAGGUGGACAAAGAUUGCCAAACUAAUCGGCACUAGGACAGUUCUACAGGCGAAGAGCUAUGCUAGGCAGUGCUUCAAAAAUAAGGUAUGACUUUAGACCAUUUCCACAUCACUAUAUGAAUAUCUAUACGCUUUUGGUUCAGAUGUGUGGUGCUUUAAACUGAAUUCAUAUAUAAGAGAAUAAUUAUAAAUAUAGACAUCAAAGGGGGUAUUUUUAAAAUCCUCAAAAAAAUAGCGUCCUAUAAAAGCAUUCUGAAGGUGUUCACUAACAAUAACAAUGUCAGUAACACCCGAUGUACUUGUUACAUCGUAAGAAGAAUGGCAUCUACGCUAAUAUCAGUCUGUCUCAUUCGUAUUCUGAGGUCACUAUAGCCACCCAGAUCCAGUCUGUAUCCAGAUCAGAUGGUCACUGCAGUGGCCCGGAUCCAGUCCAGAUGGUGGAUCAGCACCUAGAGACGACCAGGACAACCCUGAAUGUCAGAAGAGAUCAUGUCAACUAGAAGAGUCCCAAAGACAGAUCCCCAGCGAAAGACCUCGUCAACUAUAGGGCCACUGGCACAAAACCUCAGCAAAGACCAUGAUGAACCACAUCAUAUUCGUCAGUGGAGAAUUGCUCCUCCCCACAGAUUGAGUCUGGUUACUACCAAGGUUUUUUCUCCAUUUCGUAUUGCCUUUGGCUUGCUUAGGUGGGGACACUGCAUUUUUGGGGUUAUUAACGACUUGAUUUCACAGACAAUAUAUGAAGAGAACUGAACUGAGCUGGAUGAUGAUGACAUCAAUGAGUCAACGAUGAACUGACUUUUACUGAAAUAUUGCCUGUUUAUUUUUUUACUUUUUAGAGCUGCUUUACAGCAUAACUGAAUUUUGUUUGCAUUAUCUACACUAUUUUCCUGUUUAACAAUGUAAAGCUGCUAUUACACAAUCUGUUUUGUAUAAAGCACU
Long non-coding RNA from Cyprinus carpio carpio, 3236 nucleotides. The record is from Ensembl. Lineage: Eukaryota; Metazoa; Chordata; Actinopteri; Cypriniformes; Cyprinidae.